UACAUAGGGGGCAAGCGUUAUCCGGAUUUAUUGGGUGUAAAGGGUGCGUAGACGGAGAAACAAGUUGGUUGUGAAAUCCCUCGGCUCAACUGAGGAACUGCAACCAAAACUAUUUCCCUUGAGUGUCGGAGAGGAAAGUGGAAUUCCUAGUGUAGCGGUGAAAUGCGUAGAUAUUAGGAGGAACACCAGUGGCGAAGGCGGCCUGCUGGGCUUUUACUGACGCUGAGGCUCGAAAGUGUGGGGAGCAAACAGG
Molecule: ribosomal RNA, 253 nt
Filed under: uncultured bacterium
Lineage: Bacteria
Description: partial 16S ribosomal RNA
Rfam family: Bacterial small subunit ribosomal RNA
Source: RNAcentral